RNAcentral lists this ribosomal RNA (497 nucleotides) under uncultured bacterium. Its description in RNAcentral is "partial 16S ribosomal RNA". It matches the Rfam family "Bacterial small subunit ribosomal RNA", at positions 28 to 507 of the family's 1533-position model. The record is from RNAcentral.
GACGAACGCUGGCGGCGUGCCUAAUACAUGCAAGUUGAGCGCUGAAGGUUGGUACUUGUACCAACUGGAUGAGCAGCGAACGGGUGAGUAACGCGUGGGGAAUCUGCCUUUGAGCGGGGGACAACAUUUGGAAACGAAUGCUAAUACCGCAUAAAAACUUUAAACACAAGUUUUAAGUUUGAAAGAUGCAAUUGCAUCACUCAAAGAUGAUCCCGCGUUGUAUUAGCUAGUUGGUGAGGUAAAGGCUCACCAAGGCGAUGAUACAUAGCCGACCUGAGAGGGUGAUCGGCCACAUUGGGACUGAGACACGGCCCAAACUCCUACGGGAGGCAGCAGUAGGGAAUCUUCGGCAAGGGACGAAAGUCUGACCAAGCAACGCCGCGUGAGUGAAGAAGGUUUUCGGAUCGUAAAACUCUGUUGGUAGAGAAGAACGUUGGUGAGAGUGGAAAGCUCAUCAAGUGACGGUAACUACCCAGAAAGGGACGGCUAACUACGUG